Molecule: ribosomal RNA, 435 nt
Filed under: uncultured bacterium
Lineage: Bacteria
Description: partial 16S ribosomal RNA
Rfam family: Bacterial small subunit ribosomal RNA
Source: RNAcentral
AGCGAACGCUGGCGGCAGGCUUAACACAUGCAAGUCGAACGGGCAUAGCAAUAUGUCAGUGGCAGACGGGUGAGUAACGCGUGGGAACGUACCUUUUGGUUCGGAACAACACAGGGAAACUUGUGCUAAUACCGGAUAAGCCCUUACGGGGAAAGAUUUAUCGCCGGAAGAUCGGCCCGCGUCUGAUUAGCUAGUUGGUAGGGUAAUGGGCUACCAAGGCGACGAUCAGUAGCUGGUCUGAGAGGAUGAUCAGCCACAUUGGGACUGAGACACGGCCCAAAGUCCUACGGGAGGCAGCAGUGGGGAAUAUUGGGCAAUGGGCGAAAGCCUGAUCCAGCCAUGCCGCGUGAGUGAUGAAGGCCCUAGGGUUGUAAAGCUCUUUUGGGCGGGAAGAUAAUGACGGUACCGCAAGAAUAAGCCCCGGCUAACUUCGUG